This 346-nucleotide ribosomal RNA is filed under the name uncultured Weissella sp. RNAcentral describes it as "bacterial SSU rRNA". It matches the Rfam family "Bacterial small subunit ribosomal RNA", at positions 349 to 687 of the family's 1533-position model. The record is from RNAcentral. Lineage: Bacteria; Bacillati; Bacillota; Bacilli; Lactobacillales; Lactobacillaceae.
UAGCAGUAGGGAAUCUUCCACAAUGGGCGCAAGCCUGAUGGAGCAACGCCGCGUGUGUGAUGAAGGGUUUCGGCUCGUAAAACACUGUUAUAAGAGAAGAACGGCACUGAGAGUAACUGUUCAGUGUGUGACGGUAUCUUACCAGAAAGGAACGGCUAAAUACGUGCCAGCAGCCGCGGUAAUACGUAUGUUCCAAGCGUUAUCCGGAUUUAUUGGGCGUAAAGCGAGCGCAGACGGUUAUUUAAGUCUGAAGUGAAAGCCCUCAGCUCAACUGAGGAAUUGCUUUGGAAACUGGAUGACUUGAGUGCAGUAGAGGAAAGUGGAACUCCAUGUGUAGCGGUGAAAU